CCGGGCUUCGCAGGGCAGGAUAACGGAUAACGUCCGCCGAGGGCGACCUCCGGGAAAGUGCAACAGAAAUAAACCGCCCGCUUUCGCGGGCAAGGAUGGAAAGGCGAGGUAAGAGCUCACCGCCUUCGCGGUAACGCGGAGGGCAAUGUAAACCCUAUCCGAAGCAACGCCCCGAUUUAAGUUUGCCCGACGCAGGGAGUUUUCCCGUUUCGGGGCGGCAUGAAGUCCGCCGGUAACGGCGGAAUAAGAUAGAUGACUGUCUAUUACAAAACCCGGCUUACAGACGAAGU
This 290-nucleotide RNase P RNA is filed under the name bovine gut metagenome. RNAcentral describes it as "Bacterial RNase P class A". It matches the Rfam family "Bacterial RNase P class A", at positions 52 to 356 of the family's 367-position model. From Rfam's summary of the family: Ribonuclease P (RNase P) is a ubiquitous endoribonuclease, found in archaea, bacteria and eukarya as well as chloroplasts and mitochondria. Its best characterised activity is the generation of mature 5'-ends of tRNAs by cleaving the 5'-leader elements of precursor-tRNAs. Cellular RNase Ps are ribonucleoproteins. The record is from RNAcentral.